UACGUAGGGUGCGAGCGUUGUCCGGAAUUAUUGGGCGUAAAGAGCUCGUAGGCGGUGUGUCGCGUCGGUCGUGAAAACUUGGGGCUAAACCCUGAGCUUGCGGUCGAUACGGGCAUCACUGGAGUUCGGCAGGGGAGACUGGAAUUCCUGGUGUAGCGGUGAAAUGCGCAGAUAUCAGGAGGAACACCGGUGGCGAAGGCGGGUCUCUGGGCCGAUACUGACGCUGAGGAGCGAAAGCGUGGGGAGCGAACAGG
RNAcentral lists this ribosomal RNA (254 nucleotides) under uncultured bacterium. Its description in RNAcentral is "partial 16S ribosomal RNA". It matches the Rfam family "Bacterial small subunit ribosomal RNA", at positions 524 to 776 of the family's 1533-position model. The record is from RNAcentral.